CACAUGGUGGAAGUGGGAGCCAGGGAUUAAAGCGGACAGGAUGCUAUUUUCAUGCUGCUUCUGAAAGGAAUGGCUUCUCUUCCAGCAGAGGAAGGAGCUGCGGCUGCACGGUGCCAUGCAACAGCGAGCUGCCUGCCAGCUUCCUGUCCAGACCAGGGGUCAGCAGCUCCCUGAAGGACGUGCCCGGCUGCUGAGCUGCAGUGGCCACAUGAGAGCAGCAGCAGCAGCACAGCCCUGCUCCACCAGCCUGGGUGCACAGGAGCUCCCUGACCUCAGGCCUAGCACACAGCAGGUUCCCAAAGUCAGCAUGCGUGACUCUGAAAGGUCCCACCCCGGCCAGAGUGAGGCAGCAAAGCUUCCAGAAGCCAAAGCAGCUGAAAUGAAAAAACGUUCUGUAUUCCACCACUUCAGCUUUGUACAGGUCAUCCGUGAAAUAUGCAAGUUAUGGAGAAAAAAAAAAACACAAGCAUUCAGCCUAACAAACUGGCACUAUUAUCUCCAUCUUUCCAAAUAGCAUCAGAAUAUCUUAAAAUGAUGAAAAUCGUGCUCUUGUAAAUGUAAGAACAUAAAGCCAUCGAACCAAGAGUCUAACCCAAAAUUGCCCCCCAUCUCCCCACAUUCCUAAGGAGAUUUAUGAGGAUCAGCUCUAAAGAUCACCACAAGACCAAAACACUUAUCUCAUCAACUGGCCCCCAUUUCCUCAAGUCAUCCAGAAAUGCUAAGCUCAAGCAAUUUGUCAUCUCUACAGUCAUUUGAAAAAUAUGUACAGAGAACCAUUACAUUAAAACCAAGACUAAAAUGGCUGAAAACUUCCACUGCAAGCAUCUUCUGGUGGGG
Molecule: long non-coding RNA, 837 nt
Filed under: Gallus gallus (chicken)
Lineage: Eukaryota; Metazoa; Chordata; Aves; Galliformes; Phasianidae
Description: lncRNA (ENSGALG00010030074.1)
Source: RNAcentral